UCAGCGGGUAACCUCGCCUGACGUGAAGUCAAAUUUAGGGGGGGUACUUCUGGCACGAGGAGCGGGCACCGGGAUCAGAGGCGUGUUCACUACUCUGCGGGUGCAAGCUGACCUCGGCCGAGGCAUUGCGGGCAGCGGCGGACCCGACGGUCGCCGUCCCCAUCACCGAGUCGGACUCGAGUGUUUGAAUGACGUUCACGCAGACGUGCCCACCGGAAUACCAGGGGGCGCAAUGUGCGUUCAAAGAUUCGAUGAUUCACGGAAUUCUGCAAUUCACAUUACUUAUCGCAUUUCGCUGCGUUCUUCAUCGAUGCGAGAACCA
This 322-nucleotide unclassified non-coding RNA is filed under the name uncultured fungus. RNAcentral's name for it is "partial contains 5.8S ribosomal RNA and internal transcribed spacer 2". The record is from RNAcentral. Lineage: Eukaryota; Fungi.